UACGUAGGAGACGAGCGUUGUCCGGAGUUACUGGGCGUAAAGGGUGCGCAGGUGGCGGCGCGCGUGGGGGGUGAAAUCGCCCGGCUUAACUGGGCGGGGGCCUUCCAGACGGCGUGGCUUGAGCAGCGGAGGGGGACGUGGAAUUCCGGGUGGAGCGGUGAAAUGCGCAGAUAUCAGGAGGAACACCGGUGGCGAAGGCGGGUCUCUGGGCAGUAACUGACGCUGGAGGAGCGAAAGCGUGGGGAGCGAACAGG
Molecule: ribosomal RNA, 254 nt
Filed under: uncultured bacterium
Lineage: Bacteria
Description: partial 16S ribosomal RNA
Rfam family: Bacterial small subunit ribosomal RNA
Source: RNAcentral